Dermacentor andersoni is the source of this 1056-nucleotide non-coding RNA. The record is from RefSeq and is a predicted model, not a curated record. Lineage: Eukaryota; Metazoa; Arthropoda; Arachnida; Ixodida; Ixodidae.
AUUACCGAAGCAUUUUCUUUUACAUAAAAACAGGGCAAAAUUAUCAUUGCUAAUUAGAUAUUGUGCUCUUUGUUAGUAAGUUUAUUGUUUCUUCGCCAUUAUAAACGCAAAUAGCGUUCAGCAUCAUCGAUCUUUCACGUGACCUCUGACCUGAAUUUAAAAUUUUUACCGGUAUUUCCGAGUGCACGGCGGCACGGAUUCAUUCGUUCGUACACUCAAGACUGCUUUGUUUCUAAAACUAGUUUCUUGCGCUUCGAUGUCUCGCGUUAUUUAACUUGGGGUGAAGUUACGUGUUUGCAAGCGGACAUGUAAGCCCGGCAGUUGGGUUUCGGUCGUGAGCCAUUCGGAACAGGUCUGCAUCGAAACGGGAGCUGGAUUUUGCUGCGGCUGACAACGGCAAUAACGACGUGCAGUAAUGAAGACGGCACCAGUAUAAAGCAACACACUCCACGCACUAAACAGAAGCUGCUGCCUGCUACAACAAGGUCAUUGUGUGGACAUUGGCUACUACUACAAGAGUCUAUGCCAAGCACAUCUUGGUCAUCACAGGAGCUCCUAUCUGCGCCAACAGGAAGGGGCUGGAGCCGAAUUUACAAGGCUUUUACACCAAGAACAAAGAAGCACAUGCAGAAGAAUAUGAAUGAGAUAUCAAGUCUGCAGAGGACUGUGUCAAGACUGAAAAGAGCUUCAGCCACCAUUCCACCAGCACGGACAUUUGGUUGAGUCAUCCAGGUAACUCAAAAAGGACUUUCUAGAAAUUCUUCGUCUUCAGGUGCACCUGCAACAUCUGACCAAGCACGGACGACGCUGGCCAAAAGAUUGAGUUCCAGCAGUUUGCCCUUAAUCAGCUUUCUAGCCAUGUUAAUUCCGUUUGUGCCAAGUGUAAUUUUUCUUCUAUAAAUGCAAGCUUUCUCAUUGCCCAUUUUUGUUAGAGGUCAUUCAUCCUCAUCCAAAUAUAAAGGUCAACCGAUUCUUCGCUGAUACUUAAUACCAGUCACUGUCUAGCAGCCUAACAUAUCUGUAGCAGUAUCUUCUAGUGUAUGUUGUCAUGCGCAA